Molecule: ribosomal RNA, 297 nt
Filed under: Triticum aestivum (bread wheat)
Lineage: Eukaryota; Viridiplantae; Streptophyta; Magnoliopsida; Poales; Poaceae
Description: partial small subunit ribosomal RNA
Source: RNAcentral
AUGGUGGCCUCGGCGUCCAGGACCUCGAGCGCACGGGACUAUCGCUCCGGCUGCGUUGGCUCUGGCUCGCGCGCACAGACACAGAUCGAGCUUGGCAGGGGCUGGACCUGCAAUUCACGACGGAGGAGCGAGCGCUCUUUUACGCUUCCACGACCAUGGCCAUCGGUGACGGCAGGACGGCCCUUUUCUGGGAGGACCGCUGGCUCAGCGGCCAAUCCGUCCACGAGCUCGCGCCCAUGCUUAUCCAGUGCAUACCCAAACAGCGCAGGAAGUCCAGAACGGUGGCGGAGGCCCUAG